GGGCUCGUAGCUCAGUUGGUAGAGCACUUGACUUUUAAUCAAGUUGUCCCGGGUUCGAAUCCCGGCGAGCCCACCA
This 76-nucleotide transfer RNA is filed under the name Rickettsia sp. RNAcentral's name for it is "tRNA-Lys". It matches the Rfam family "tRNA". From Rfam's summary of the family: Transfer RNA (tRNA) molecules are approximately 80 nucleotides in length. RNAcentral also lists the same sequence under 1 other name. The record is from RNAcentral. Lineage: Bacteria; Pseudomonadati; Pseudomonadota; Alphaproteobacteria; Rickettsiales; Rickettsiaceae.